RNAcentral lists this ribosomal RNA (341 nucleotides) under Serratia marcescens. RNAcentral describes it as "bacterial LSU rRNA". It matches the Rfam family "Bacterial large subunit ribosomal RNA", at positions 152 to 531 of the family's 2925-position model. Lineage: Bacteria; Pseudomonadati; Pseudomonadota; Gammaproteobacteria; Enterobacterales; Yersiniaceae. The record is from RNAcentral.
CAUGUCAUGAAUACAUAGUGGCAUGAGGCGAACCGGGGGAACUGAAACAUCUAAGUACCCCGAGGAAAAGAAAUCAACCGAGAUUCCCCCAGUAGCGGCGAGCGAACGGGGAGGAGCCCAGAACCUGAAUCGGCUUGUGUGUUAGUGGAAGCGUCUGGAAAGUCGCGCAGUAAAGGGUGAUAGCCCCGUACACUAAAAUGCACAGGUCGUGAGUUCGAUGAGUAGGGCGGGACACGUGACAUCCUGUCUGAAUAUGGGGGGACCAUCCUCCAAGGCUAAAUACUCCUGACUGACCGAUAGUGAACCAGUACCGUGAGGGAAAGGCGAAAAGAACCCCGGCG